CCUAGAAAUUUAGGUUUUGGGGCUUUUUUCCGUCUUUGGGUCCAUAAAACUCUAGUUUUGGUUAUUUGGUUGGGAUUUGAAAUCGGUGUUAGUGAGGCAAGUGUGAAGAGGAAGAAUUAGGGUUUUGGAUGUAUGGCGUCGGGGCCUAUAGUGGGAGGAGAUGAUGGAGCUAAGGUGAAGCAGAGAUAUAAUGAGAACAAGGUGUACACGAGGAAAGCAUAUAAAGGACCUAAGAACAGAGCUAAUGCCUUGUCCGCUGUUGUUCCCAACGCUGCCCCAGCUACGACAACUGCCAACAAAGAUGACAUCAACAACAACAACAGCAUGGUCAAGAACGAUAAUGUCGUAGAGACCGAGAAGAAUGAGAACAACGAGUCGGCUCAGGAACAACCCCAGACUAUAUUGCCCGAGGAUGGAAAUUCGGCUCAGCCACUACUAAAUCCGAGACCGGACGCGGUUUCAGAUGACUCGUCCACCUUAAAACGUCAGCAGAAUGAACCUUCUAGCCUCAACUGUCAGCUGGACGAACAUUCGAGCCCCCAUCAUCAGCAGGACGAACCUUCGAGUUCCAAUCGACAGGAGGAGGCUACUCCUAGGACUCGGGAGUUGCCAUCAGGAAAUGGCGCUGUAAAGUCAGGAUUGGAUAAUCGAAUUAAGAUAAACUUGUCCUCAAGGUCAAAGCAAGAGGUAUUGGAGCUCAAGAGGAAGCUUGAAAAUGAGCUUGAUACAGUGAGAAGUUUGGUCAGAAAAAUUGAAGUGAAACUGGGGCAGAUUGGUAAGUAUGGUAAGUCAAAUCCUCUGGUGAGUGAUAGAAUUGAUAAUGGCAUUGUGCCAAGGCGUGUUCAGUCUGAGGGCGCAUCUGUUGUUCCCCAAGAAUCUAUCAGGCCUUCGCACCGGUUAAAUUUGUCAGUGCUAGAGAAUAGUCACGGAGCCAGUGAAAUAGUUGAGAAGGAAAAGAGAACGCCCAAGGCAAACCAGUUAUAUAGGAAUUCAGAGUUCUUGCUUGGGAAAGAUAAAUUCCCUCCUGCAGAGAGCAAUAAGAAGUCAAAAUUAAAUGGAAAGAAGCAGGGUGGGGGAGAAAUGCGACGUGGUUUUGGGAUGGGAUCGAAAGUUUUCAAAAGCUGUAGUUCGUUGCUUGAGAAGUUGAUGAAACACAAGCAUGGUUGGGUGUUUAAUGCUCCUGUUGACGUUGAGGGGCUUGGAUUGCAGGAUUAUUUUAGCAUAAUCUCGCAUCCAAUGGACCUAGGUACUGUGAAAACUAGGCUUAAUAAGAAUUGGUACAAAUCGCCCAAGGAAUUUGCAGAGGAUGUGAGACUUACAUUUCGCAACGCUAUGAAAUAUAACCCACCAGGCCAAGAUGUUCAUGUAAUGGCAGACCUGCUAUCAAAGAUAUUUGAGGACAAAUGGGCUACAAUAGAAUCAGAUUUCAAUCGUGAGAUAAGAUAUGCACAUGAUUAUGGGACAGCUCUUCCUUUGCCCUCACCAAUGUCUAGAAAUGCUACUGGAUUCCUUCCACCACCUCUUGAUAUGAGAAGGAUUUUGGAUAGAUCAGAAUCAAUGAUGCAAACCCCAAAGUCAGUGCGCAUUACUCCAUCAAGUAGAACCCCUGCUCCAAAGAAGCCAAAGGCAAAGGAUCCUUAUAAAAGAGACAUGACCUAUGAGGAAAAGCAGAAACUUAGCACAAACCUCCAGAGUCUCCCUCCAGAGAAGUUAGAUGCCAUUGUACAGAUCAUUAAAAAAAGAAAUACAGCUCUUUCUCAACAUGAUGAUGAGAUUGAAGUGGACAUUGAUAGUGUUGAUACCGAGACUCUUUGGGAGCUUGAUAGAUUUGUGACCAAUUACAAGAAAAGUUUGAGCAAGAACAAGAGGAAGGCUGAACUUGCUAUUCAAAGGGCAGAAUCUGCAAAGAAUGCCCCACAAAAGGCAUCUGAUACAGUUGAGGUUCCAAAAGAAAAUUUAGCAGAUGAAAGGAAUGUACCCCCAUCAUUGCCUGCGCGAGGGUAUAAACCACUGGACAAUGGUAGUAGGUCAAGUAGUUCUAGCAGCUCAAGCAGUGAUUCAGGCUCCUCUUCAACUGAUUCUGAUACUGAAAGCUCCUCAGCAUCCGGAUCUGAUGCAGGAUCACAAGGAACUUGAAUAUAUUCUCUCAGUUCUCUGGUAUUUAGAGUUAGAUAAUGAUGAGAUGCUUUGCCUAAUUGGUGGUCUGAAGCCAAAGCUUCCAUGUUACGGCUCUAAAUUUUACAGCUGAUGUAUAGAGGAAGCAUUCUCGAGGUCAACAGUGAUCCUACCAAUGCAUGGCAGAUUCAGGAUUCUUGGUGUUGUACAAAGAUAUGUAAUUCCAAGUGCUUGGAGCCAUUAAUGGUUCACAUGAAAUCUCAUUCCAUAUGGUAGCCUGAGUUUGGCAUUGGGCUGGUUAGAGUAACAUUAGAGAGAUAUUAUUACUUUGUUUUUACAAUUAAGGAAGGUGAGUUUAAUUCUCUGGUUUUGUGCAAAAGGUUUUGGAAGGUGAGCAAUUCAGCAGUUAGUGAGAAGUAAUAAUCUUUCCUGCCUAUCAGGUGGCUGAGACGAUGACAGUUGUACAGUUAAUGUGUUCAAGCUUACUUAGGGCCCAUAGUGAUGAAAUAAGAUUCAUGAACUCUUUCCAUCGAAGUGGUAAAUGCUGCAGACGAAGGGCUGGUCAAGUUUUCAAAAUGUUUCUUACCUCUUUUCCAUGGCCAAGCCGAAGUGCUAGACGUAUGCCAAAAAAAAAGGGUGAUAUGCAUGGCGAACUGACGAAGUUUGUAUUUCGCGUUUACCAUCCUUGGACGAUUGUUGCGUUCCAGAUUUAGUAACGCGUUUUGAGGUUUCUUUGUUCUCUUUAAAUUUCUGAAUACAAAAUAAUUCAGUCGCCCAAAUUUGACCUGCAGCGAAAGCUGUGGCGAGGAAAUUCCGCAGGAAACUGGUCAUGUGAGAAGAAUUUAGUUCUUUUUCGGAGUAUUUUCACUGUAUGUAUGGUGAUCUUUCUUGAUGGAAUGAAUUGCAAUCUGGGGCAGUUGGUAAAUAGAAACAA
Neltuma alba is the source of this 3049-nucleotide RNA transcript. It is a transcript of the gene named transcription factor GTE4, with no coding region annotated. The transcript has 6 exons. The record is from RefSeq and is a predicted model, not a curated record. NCBI's taxonomy places the organism in Eukaryota, Viridiplantae, Streptophyta, Magnoliopsida, Fabales, Fabaceae.